UAGUUGGUGAGGUAACGGCUCACCAAGGCGAUGAUCUUUAGGGGGCCUGAGAGGGUGAUCCCCCACACUGGUACUGAGACACGGACCAGACUCCUACGGGAGGCAGCAGUGAGGAAUAUUGGACAAUGGGUGAGAGCCUGAUCCAGCCAUCCCGCGUGAAGGAUUAAGGACCUAUGGUUUGUAAACUUCUUUUGUACAGGGAUAAACCUACUUACGUGUAAGUAGCUGAAGGUACUGUACGAAUAAGCACCGGCUAACUCCGUGCCAGCAGCCGCGGCAAUACGGAGGGUGCAAGCGUUAUCCGGAUUUAUUGGGUUUAAAGGGUCCGUAGGCGGAUCUAUAAGUCAGUGGUGAAAUCUCAUAGCUUAACUAUGAAACUGCCAUUGAUACUGUAGGUCUUGAGUGUAGUUGAAGUAGCUGGAAUGAGUAGUGUAGCGGUGAAAUGCAUAGAUAUUACUCAGAACACCGAUUGCGAAGGCAGGUUACUAAGUUACAACUGACGCUGAUGGACGAAAGCGUGGGGAGCGAACAGGAUUAGAUACCCUGGUAGUCCACGCCGUAAACGAUGCUUACUCGUUUUUGGGGCAUUACGCUUCAGAGACCAAGCGAAAGUGAUAAGUAAGCCACCUGGGGAGUACGUUCGCAAGAAUGAAACUCAAAGGAAUUGACGGGGGCCCGCACAAGCGGUGGAUUAUGUGGUUUAAUUCGAUGAUACGCGAGGAACCUUACCAAGACUUAAAUGGGAAUUGACAGACGCAGAAAUGUGUUUUUCUUCGGACAAUUUUCAAGGUGCUGCAUGGUUGUCGUCAGCUCGUGCCGUGAGGUGUUAGGUUAAGUCCUGCAACGAGCGCAACCCCUGUCCUUUGUUGCCAGCACGUAAUGGUGGGAACUCAAGGGAGACUGCCGGUGAUAAACCGGAGGAAGGUGGGGAUGACGUCAAGUCAUCAUGGCCCUUACGGCCAGGGCUACACACGUGCUACAAUGGCGCGUACAGAGGGCUGCAAGCUAGCGAUAGUGAGCGAAUCCCAAAAAGCGCGUCGUAGUCCGGAUCGGAGUCUGCAACUCGACUCCGUGAAGUCGGAAUCGCUAGUAAUCGCAAAUCAGAAUGUUGCGGUGAAUACGUUCCCGGGCCU
RNAcentral lists this ribosomal RNA (1133 nucleotides) under uncultured bacterium. RNAcentral's name for it is "bacterial SSU rRNA". It matches the Rfam family "Bacterial small subunit ribosomal RNA", at positions 246 to 1381 of the family's 1533-position model. The record is from RNAcentral.